Molecule: transfer RNA, 73 nt
Filed under: Daphnia pulex (common water flea)
Lineage: Eukaryota; Metazoa; Arthropoda; Branchiopoda; Diplostraca; Daphniidae
Rfam family: tRNA
About the family: Transfer RNA (tRNA) molecules are approximately 80 nucleotides in length. Their secondary structure includes four short double-helical elements and three loops (D, anti-codon, and T loops).
Source: Rfam by way of RNAcentral
GAGGAUGUAGCUCAGAUAAUAGAGCGCUCGCUUAGCAUGCGAGAAGUACGGGGAUCGAUACCCUGCAUCUCCA